This 490-nucleotide ribosomal RNA is filed under the name uncultured bacterium. RNAcentral's name for it is "partial 16S ribosomal RNA". It matches the Rfam family "Bacterial small subunit ribosomal RNA", at positions 29 to 507 of the family's 1533-position model. The record is from RNAcentral.
AAUGAACGCUGGCGGCAGGCCUAACACAUGCAAGUCGAACGGUAACAGGAAGAAGUUUGCUUCUUUGCUUACGAGUGGCGGACGGGUGUGUAAUGUCUGUGAAACACCUUGAUGGAGGGGGAUAACUACUGGAAACGGUAGCUAAUACCGCAUAACGUCUCAAGCCCAAAAAUGGAGAGUGUCGGGCGGCUUUCCAUCGGAUGUUCCAAGAUUGGAUUAGCGAGUAGGUGGUGUAACGGCUCACCAAGUCAACGAGCCCCAGCUGGUCUGAGAGGGUGACCAGCCACACUGGAACUGAGACACGGUCCAGACUCCUACGGGAGGCAGCAGUGGGGAAUAUUGCACAAUGGGCGAAAGCCUGACGCAGCCAUGCCGCGUGUGUGAAGAAGGCCUUCGGAUCGUAAAGCACUUUCAGCGGGGAGGAAGAGAGUAAAAUGAAUACCUUCACUCAUUGACGUUACCCAAAGAAGAAGCACCGGCUAACUCCGUG